This 217-nucleotide ribosomal RNA is filed under the name uncultured bacterium. RNAcentral describes it as "partial 16S ribosomal RNA". It matches the Rfam family "Bacterial small subunit ribosomal RNA", at positions 1285 to 1500 of the family's 1533-position model. The record is from RNAcentral.
GUCUCAGUUCGGAUCGCAGGCUGCAACCCGCCUGCGUGAAGUCGGAAUCGCUAGUAAUCGCGGAUCAGCAUGCCGCGGUGAAUACGUUCCCGGGCCUUGUACACACCGCCCGUCACACCAUGAGAGUCGGGAACACCCGAAGUCCGUAGCCUAACCAAUCUGGAGGGCGCGGCCGAAGGUGGGUUCGAUAAUUGGGGUGAAGUCGUAACAAGGUAUC